AAAUGAUAACACACAAUUUUCUUCUGUUUCUUAAAGUGCCACCUCCAGUAUUGAUUAUUUUGUAUUCUGGCCUCUGCCUUCAGAACAACCAGAAAAACAGCAAGGCAGAAAGAACCAGAGUCAUGAACUUUAAACAUUGAUGGUACAGGAAACUGAAAUUCUUUUUCUGCUCUUCACAGGAAGGGAAAUCUAUGAGCUUUCCUAUGGUACUGUUUUCUCCAAUGGUUUUGAGGUUAUUCUGUUGUGUGUUGCCUGUUUCUGUUUCUCCAUAGUCUGAAAAGACAAGUUUGUAUAGUUGGAAUUGUCUUGUGGUAUAGAAUUAUCUUUCAGUAAUCUCUAAAAUUCUGUUCUCAAAGCAUUUGUGUAUUUACAAGUGCAGGUGUAGAGUGUAGGUGAUGGUGGGUAGUCAGGCUGUAGAGUGUAGGUGAUGGAGGGUAGUCAGGCUGUAGAGUGUAGGUGAUGGAGGGUAGUCAGGUUGUAGAGUGUAGGUGAUGGAGGGUAGUCAGGCUGUAGAGUGUAGGUGAUGGAGGGUAGUCAGGCUGUAUAGUGUAGGUGAUGGAGGGUAGUCAGACUGUAUAGUGUAGGUGAUGGAGGGUAGUCAGGCUGUAGAGUGUAGGUGAUGGAGGGUAGUCAGACUGUAAAGUGUAGGUGAUGCAGGGUAGUCAGGCUGUAUAGUGUAGGUGAUAGAGGGGCAGUCAGGCUGUAGAAUGUAGAUGAUGGAGGGUAGUCAGGCUGUAGAGUGUAGGUGUUGGAGGGGCAGUCAGUCAGGCUAUAGAGUGUAGGUGUUGGAGGGGCAGUCAGGCUGUAGAGUGUAGGUGAUGGAGGAGCAGUCAGGCUGUAGAGUGUAGGUGAUGGAGGAGCAGUCAGUCAGACUGUAGAGUGUAGGUGAUGGAGGGGCAGUCAGGCUGUAGAGUGUAGGUGAUGGACGACAGUCAAUCAGGCUGUAGAGUGUAGGUGAUGGAGGGGCAGAACCUUUCAUGCUAGUUUUGUCCUUUACAGUUUACUUGGCAUUUGUAUUUCAUUGUUUUGUUUUUAAUUUUCCAAAGAUAAUUUUUACUAUUGCUUUCUUUGGCAGACGGAGCAGAUGUUAUUUCCAUUUACUGAUUGCUAGACCACAGAAAUGAAAGAGCUUAUUAAAGAAUGAUUUAACGGGCUGAGUAUAUAGUUCUGUAAUAGUGCCUGCAUACAUGCAUGCAUGCAAAUGCCCACAUGUGUGUGUGCACACAUACACACACACACACACAUGCACACACACAAUGUAAUAAAGGAUCUGUUUCUUCAUAACCACAUUCAUGUUUAUCUUAAGACUUUUAAACUUUUAAAAGAACUUAUUAUUUUACUUUACAUGUAUGAGCGUUUGCCUACAUGGAUGUCUGUGCAUCGUGUGCAUGUAGUGCCUACAAAGGCCAGAAGAUUCCCUAGAACUGGAGUUAUAAACAAUUGUAAGAUGCCAUGUGUGUGGUCCUGGGAAUCAAACCCAGUGCUCUUAACCCCUGAGCUAUCUUUUCAGUUCCUCAUUGUAAGAUUUUAAAAUAUUAUAUCCUUGAGCUAUUUAUAUAGACAACUGCCACCUUCUUAUAACUCCAAUAUUUUAUUAUUUCAUGAUUUUUUCUUAAAGUAAAUUCACAGGUUGAACAUUUCCACAAAUUAUUCUUAAAUAUAUUACCUGUGCACAUCUAUGUCAUAAAACAAUGCCUAUACUUUUCUUGCUUGACCUGAGUUUUGAAGGCAGAGCAGGUGAGGUGAGAUGAAUGGGAUCAGUGGGACUCCCCGGCUGCUGUUUCCUUUGCCAUUCUCAUCUCAUGUUAAUGAGUCCACACCAUGCCUAGGAAAGAGUUUUACAACAUUGUUGAUGUGACAUAGUAACCAGUGGCCUCAAGAACCUUAAGAACUGGAUUUCCCUGGUAGAAACUUGUUCAUGCUUAUUUCUUUUCAGUGUUCAUAGUUGGGCCAUUUUAGACACAUUAAUUCGGAAUUUUUGAGUAUUAGAAACAAGAAGGGUUUGAAAAUUGUUUUUGCUUAGUUCUUCCUUUUGUUGGCUGAGGAAACUUCAUCUAGGUGCUACGCAGUUACCCUACCAGCUGCACUCCAUUUGUACCCUAAAGCACUGGUGCUAGAACACUGUGGUAUCCUAUUCAGACUCAUGAAGUACUAUCCCCUCCCCAGAGUCUCUUUGCUCUUCAGGUAAGGUGAUCUUGUGUGUGUCUUUGGAACUACAAAUAGUCAACAUCUUUUCAUAUGCUUAUUAAAUCAUCAGUGAGUUGCAAUGUGUUAGAUUGUGGUUAUGUUUCAGAGUGUGCUCUGAGGAUCUUCAGCAUUCACUGAAAUAUCACCAAUUCUCCUGAGCCUGUGGUUGACUGCCAUGCCCCUUCUCAGCAUCAAUGCAGGGAACUCAGCCUCAUCUGUUGCUACGGAGUGCAGGACAUAGCUCGUAAUUUUCUGGUUCUCAUGGGCAAAGAGGACCAGCUAUUUCUUCAUUUAAGAAUUACCUACUAAUUGUGACAAUUUGGUCUUUACGUCUUUCUGAAGAAGAAAGUAUUUGCAAUUCGUGGGGUGUUAUCACAGACCAGGUAUUCCUAACCCUCCCUGCUAUCUAGCUCCAUGGCACAGCACAGAGUGGAUGUCUGUCUAGGCCAGCAGUUUUUAACCUGUGGGUCACAACCACUUUGGGGGUCAUAUAUCAGAUAUCCUACAUAUCAGAUAUUUACAUCUGAUUUAUAAUAGUAGUAAAAUUACACUUUUGAAGUAGCAAAAACAAAAGCAAACCCCAAACCAAUGUUAUAAUUGUAGGUCAUCACAACAUGGGGAACUGUAUCAAAGUGUCACAGCCUUAAGAAGGUUGAGAACCACCGAGCUAGGCAUUUACACUCAUGGAGUGGUUUUAGCACAAAUUUGGACAGAGUGCUUUUCUUCUUUAAAGUUUUGUUUUACAAAGGGAACUACUUGGGGCUACUCUCAUUAAGACUUUCAAGGUCAACUAUAAUGGGAAGUAUGAAAUGUUUUUAAAGGCAGAGUAUUUCACAAGCUCAGGGAGCUGGGCACCAUAUGCCCAACACACACUUAACAUAAAACUUACAUAUUUGUGAUAAACACUCUUCUUGUGGCUGAAUUAAUAAAAGUUAACAAUAUGGAGAUUCUUUGCAGAGAGAAUUUAUUUUCUUUUAAAAUAGUCAUGAGUUAUUGAUACUAAUAUUUAGUAACCUUGAUAAUUUAUAAAAUAGUAUUUAGAUUACAAGUAUAGUCAUAAUAUAAUACUAUGUUAUAAUAUUAGUUAUGGUAAUCCUAUAUUAUAAACUAGGAUGAAUUCUUAGUAAUAUGAGUAUUUUAUUAUUAAUGGCCUCUGUAAAUACCAAUAAAUAUUACUAAGAUUAUAGUGUUAAAAACCACACCGCCUAAAUGUUACAAACAGAAAAAAUUAUAGCUCCAGGCAGGCAGAAUCCUAAAAGUUAACCUCAUCCAUUCUCUCAUUUCCUAAACAGCAGGAAAUGAUUCUUAGAUCUCUUCAUAGAAAUGCUCAGACAUUGCCUGGGAAUGCUGUAUGGUGAGAUUGACUGUUGAGCAGGCCGGAGUUAUUACCCCGAUUUUAGAGACUCAGAUCCUCCUGAGUGACUUGUUGAGUAUUAUAUGACAGUAAGGACAGAGCUCAUGCGUGGACUUGUGGGAUAUCUUCAAUGACUGUGUGAGUUGUGCAUCACAGAUGAAUUUGUGAUGACUUGUUUGGAAGCUGCCCUGAGAACUAAUAUACAUGAACAGAGAAGAUUAGAUGUUUUCGCACAAAGAGAUGUUCAUGUAAUUGGUGACAAAAUUCUCAUUCAUUUUGUAGUCUGUCAGCCUAAUUAACUGUUGAAAUGAAUUUGUAAUAAGGUGAUGGAUUCCCAAUUCUUACA
Molecule: long non-coding RNA, 3887 nt
Organism: Mastomys coucha (southern multimammate mouse)
Lineage: Eukaryota; Metazoa; Chordata; Mammalia; Rodentia; Muridae
Exons: 2
Source: RefSeq, a predicted model, not a curated record